This is a non-coding RNA of Anas platyrhynchos (mallard), 5016 nucleotides long. NCBI's taxonomy places the organism in Eukaryota, Metazoa, Chordata, Aves, Anseriformes, Anatidae. The record is from RefSeq and is a predicted model, not a curated record.
GGCGAUCAUUAAGCAGCUGCUGGGAAAGGGCCAGUGCUGGGAGGCUGAGUACUGGAAGGACUCCACCUCCAGGCCCACCUCUUCGGCCACCUCUCGCCGCAGUGCCUCCUCCACACUUUCACCUGGAAGCAACCACAGGCCUUCGGUUGAUGUCCCAUGGUUCUGCCCCCCACAGCAGAUGAGAGCCCGCCUUACCCAGGUCACAGAAGCCUGACAGGGCAGUGUACAUCCCCUGAGGGAACGAGGACUGUCGUGUAAGGAGGCACCGGCUGCCAUCAGACACCAGGGUGAUAACCACUGGAGACAUCUAGAAAACACAUCAAAAUGCAGAGGAAGAAGUUCAGACCAAACAACUUACUUUUACAGCAGUUCUCCCAAAUUUGCUGUCCCAAUUUUUAGUGCCUACUGAAAACACACAGCAGGUACCUCCACAAUACGUAUUGAAUCAUGGAGCAACAUGGGAGACAAGGAAAUGUUAGAAAUCACUUCUUAAAGGUUAAAAUAAUAAUAGUAUUUCUGUACUGUACCGAGGCCAGCAAAGGAGAAUCCUUCACAUCCACUACAAAGAGAGCCUUUCGUAAGUCAGUGAACGAUCCCUGAAGUUCAGACUCAAUGACUGAUUUUUCCAAGGCUCCUGCUUAAAAAACAACGACAAAUCUCUGAUCUCAUAAACUGCAGUUCUUAUCCCAAUUUUACGCCCUUCAUUGUUCCGGUGUACAAUUUCUGGAAGUUCCCAUGGAAGUGACAUCACCUCGGUGGUAACACAUGCCCAAAUGUUAAGUGACCUGCAAACAGCCCACCUUUACUAACGCCCACGCGGGGACAGCAGGGCAGCUUUGUGGCUCUCAACCACCGUGCUCACAGCAGCUCCUACAGAGACUCAACUGAGUUCUCUUGAGCAGUAAAUAUUGACCUAGUGUGGAAAAAGGAUGCUGCCUCGGCAUCACUUUCAUCUCAGUGCAUCAAAUGCGAUGCCAACGCAGGUGGAAGAGGAGUCAUCCCAACCUAAAUCCAGGGCAAAGUGUGGCACGUGCUCAUCUGAACAGCCGAUCAGCACUGACUUCUCUAUCCACUGUUCAGUCUCUUUCAUUUUCUCCAGGAUCCUUUUCAUCUCUAAACAGCAAGAGAAAGGGGAAGAAAAAGCUGUAAGGGAAGAGAAUUUGUGCAAACAUGACGCUCUUUCUGCAUCUCUCAUGUGAGAGAGGUGCCAGACAAAUUGUUCCGCUCCAAAGGAGACUCGAAGCCUGGCUUUCUCCUUAGCUGUCGUAUCUUCUGACCAUAUUAAAUUAAGGAUGCAAAUGUUUUAACGCUUGGGGAACAGCUUUCCAUUCUGUUUCUCUCCUACAGCAGCUGAUACCUUUCUCUCAAAACUGCUUUGCUGGUAAAACCUUGCUGCUUGUUUUCUGCUCAGCUCUUUUUCUUCAGAAGUUAUGGUCCCAAAUAUUUAAAGUGGAUAAUCUCAAACCAGAUCACGCAUGUAUUGAUACUGUAUGUACGUGAAGAGCAUGAGCUCACAUCCACGUCGUAAGGUUUUAACUCUAAAUACCCGUUAGUUGUUAACAAAUAGCAUGCUGCAUAUAACGGGAUAUUCCAUGCACAUCUUGAUAGAUUUUCAACCCCAUGUCAGGUAUUGCUUAUUGCACAUGAGCCUGUAUCGUUUGAGCUGCGUGAUCCAGGAGACAUCUCUUUCUGGACUCCUGCUUACCUGCUGCACUGAGCUGUGGUAGCAAAUAUUUCUUCCCAACCUUCUGCAGGAAGGGUGAGAGGUUGUGAAAGAGGUAGAAAGUUCCUGAGGUCUGGGCUUGUCUACAAAAGUCAUCAUCUUCCUUUAGCUCAUUUAAGUAUCUGCAGUAAGAAAAGAAUGGGGAAGAUAAAUUUAAGAUCAUGCUGGGAUUACCUGUGUUGCACUUAUUUGGACACAUUUACUUGAGGAAGAGCAGACAGUAUGGAUUUUGUCUUCUGCAAGCUUCUAGGGUGUUUGGCAGCUGGAUCUACACCUUGGUGGCCUGCACCUUCCAGCAAAGGUGCCACCUGGCAAACAAUACUGCAUUUCCUCCUAGCUAGGACAGCAAGCAUAGGCAGUCAUUGAACUGUUAGGAGAUAAACCCCUAGGUUAGAUUUAGGUAGGGCUGCUUGUGACAGUGGGCAGGAGUGCCAAAUGCUGGUCUUCUCAGUGUAAACAAGAUGCAGGUGAGAACUUACCUCAUUUUUUUAACAUAGGUAGAAUGAAACCUGCAGAAGAGAGAGGAAGCUCUUCUGUGCACUGCUUGAUAAAUUGCAGCCAUGACCAACGCCCACAGGUAGCUGUCUCUGCCUAAAAAGAGAAGCGCAGAAUAGAAACAGUGGCCCUCCAAAGUUGCGUUUGGUUUAAAAGCCACAACAACCCAAUGCUACCAGAAAUCUCUCGCUUACAGUGUCUGCAGAACGCUAGCAUUUGCUUUCUGAAAUGCUUUUUAAAAUGAUCACUUUGGUCUUAGUCUCUAGUCACAAAUCAAACCUAGUUCCAGCACUUUUAAAGACAAUUCCAAGAUACCUCAGUUUGUUGCCAUCUGUGAGUGAACACAGAAGGUCUUAGAGUGCUGUAAGAUGAGGUUAAGUAUUCCUGUCCUCAACUCCUGUACCGAUGGGAUAAAGAGCAGCAAAAGUAGCUGCUCUCUUGUUUGUUUCCUACGCAGUUGUAAUGGCCUCGAUCCAAUGGAACAUCCUAUUGCAGCACACAGUAGGGCUGUGGGAAAGGCAGCAAUGCCAGAAGAGAAUGAAAGACAAAAUAUCAGCUGCGGAAAAGAAUUCCUGGAGCUAGACGAGAGACAGCAGUCGCAGCUGAAUUGGAUCAUCUCCAACUGUCAAUGCUUUCUGUGCCAAAGGAUCCUACCACAUUUUCAGCUCAGGCAGUCACAGACUGCAGUUUGAACUCAACGUCGGGAUGUCAGAAAACAGCCAGAAAUGCCACCAUCUCUAGCACUCAUCUGAAAUAAAAAUGAACCGUGAUUCACCAUCCUUAACAAUUGCUUUGGAUAUUUCACUUUCCAACCACAGGUCCCGAGGCCCUCGAAGGAGGAGGAAGUUACGUUUGCUUCGUUUCACUGACUGAGACACAUAAGCCAAGCCAAGGAAGAGCCUGCGAGUCCUUCCCCGCAGUAAGACAUUAGGCUCCAUGCUAGAAACAAUCCUGUGAGUGAAGUGGAGGCCUGGCCAUACAAAUGCAUCUCCGACAGCUUCCUGUAGUUUACUAAUUUGAGCUUUGGCAGGCCACCAGAGGAAGUGAAUCCCUGAGACUCGCCUGAUGCAAGAAGAGCAAAGAAACGGAGCAGGCAAGGAGGCCACAAGCAGUAGGAACAGAUACUUGUUACAUAGAGGAGGUUACAAAACAGGCAAAUCUUUGCUCUGGUAUUGCCAAGAGCCUUUUUUUUUUUUAAUCUGGGUUUAUAAUAUACUUGUAUUGGCAUUAACAGUUGGUAAAAGAUUUUCAAGCCAAAGAAGUGGCUGGAAAAUGUAAUUCUAACCUAAUAACAGCUACACUAGCAAUCUUGCUUUUUUUCUUGCUGUUCUGUUUUGUGUCUCUCCAGCUGCCCUCAAUAAGCAGAAACAAGCAUCAGAAUUGCUACCAGCUGACUCUUGCACAACAACUGUUAAUUGCUUUAAGUACCUAAAACUGGUAAGCUCACAUUGAAAACUUAUGGUCAAGCCACAAGAAACCUCUUGGUAAAAAAUACUUCUUUUUUAGCAAGAGGCCAAGGAAAGACAAACCACUUCUUUAAAGAGAAAGUUAAUGAGUAGUCUUUCCCUCUAUCAUUAAAUUUUAGAUGCAGACUAACCAAAACUAGCUUUGCUCUAAAAUAAGCCUUGUAGCCUAUAUCAUGUAUAUAAGGGACUCCUGCAGCUUCUGAUACUCAGGAUGGGGAGCUAAGAAGAGAGAAAUUGUUUAAUUUCAUACAGCUGGUGGCAGCCUGUGCUCCUAACACUCUACAGGUGUAGAGGACACAUUAAUAUCUGAGUAACCAUUUAGAAGGAUUUGCUCAGUUCAGCUUUUUGGGAUCACUUGCAUCUUUGUCUUCCUCCCUGUUGGUUAGGGAAGGUCCUCCAACCCUGGCCAAAAAAUAAAAUUGUAUUUUCUUUUUGCAUUGCGCAGCUGAUGAUAUAAAGUCUGUGGUCACAGCCUGGUGUCACGAGAUUUCUGAAGAGCUGGAAAAGAUUCAGAGAGGACAAGAACCUGGUUGAUCAAAUCUAAGACAGUGGAGCCAAGUUCUCAGGGAAUAAAUGGAGAUGUUUUUCCAUGCCCUGGCUGGAGGGGCACAACUGCUAGGUGAAGGAUGGUGUGGGUGCAAACAGCUCUAGCUCGAGAGGAGGAACGCUGUGUAGAGAACUCUGCUGAGGGUUUAUAAAUAGUUGGACCACAUCAGGCUGAGAAAAUCCCAGUUACAAGUGUUUGGAGGCUGCCAGCACUCUAGGCAUGAGGGGCUAAAUAAUGCUUUGCUGUGAGUCAGAGCAGUUGUGCUCUUAGGGGGUCUCUUCUGCCUCGUUCUUGUUCUAGAAGGAUCUUUAUUUUACUACCCUUCAGCGUAAGACCUGCAGAGUGCUUCUGCAAGAUUGCUCAGAAGGGGAAGCAGCAUGCUGUUAGGCUUACACUUGCAGCAGGGGAGGCAGCUUUUGGCCACAUGCUGACAAAUAUAAGCAAGCCUGCUACUAAAUGAGCUAAUAAACUUGUGGCUGUUGGAUUCCUCCAGUCUGCCUUUUUAAAUGCAUCUGAGUGGCGCAAAAGAUGAAGGGAAGAGCGGUCAGUCUCGCUAGGAGGAAGCUGAACGCCUCUACAGCGUGUGAGGUUUUGCCACAUCUCCAGAAGCUGCAGUUAAAUCUCUGCCUAGCUAUUACGGCCUCUUUGGAUAACAGGGCUUCAACCGGCCGCCUCAGCUCGAGGCUUGUACAGCAUCGCCGCCUUUCCUGCUAGUUACAGGAGCUGUAUUGCUGUUGGAAGGUGACCAGAAUGAGAGGGAAGGAAGGUUUAUUUUCUGACGGCUA